Molecule: ribosomal RNA, 406 nt
Filed under: uncultured archaeon
Lineage: Archaea
Description: bacterial SSU rRNA
Rfam family: Archaeal small subunit ribosomal RNA
Source: RNAcentral
CCCUACGGGGUGCAGCAGGCGCGAAAACUUUACAAUGCUGGCAACAGCGAUAAGGGAACCUCGAGUGCCAGGUUACAAAUCUGGCUGUCGAGAUGCCUAAAAAGCAUUUCAUAGCAAGGGCCGGGCAAGACCGGUGCCAGCCGCCGCGGUAACACCGGCGGCUCGAGUGGUAACCGUUAUUAUUGGGUCUAAAGGGUCUGUAGCCGGCCGGAUAAGUCUCUUGAGAAAUCCAGCAGCUCAACUGUUGGGCUUUCAGGAGAUACUGUCUGGCUCGAGGCCGGGAGAGGUGAGAGGUACUUCAGGGGUAGGGGUGAAAUCUUGUAAUCCUUGAAGGACCACCAGUGGCGAAGGCGUCUCACCAGAACGGACCUGACGGCAAGGGACGAAAGCUAGGGGCACGAACCGG